CUUCAAGGUAAAAGCAAGGACCUUCUUGAGACAACACACUGUCUCCAGAGAGAUUAGAUGGGCUUCAGCACCAGAACUGAUUUAAGUGCACAUGAAAAGAUCGGAAAUACUGAGAACUGUACUCUUGAGAAACAACCCUCCCAGGCCUACAAACCUCAGAAAUCUGCAAUUGGCCAUCCUGCUGAUGCUGCUGAAAGUUGCAACUCGGCCAGAGAUUCCUAACCUGGAGGAGAUACUUGAAUUCAUACGUUUAAUCCAAUAAAGAACAAGCACCUGAAUAACAGAUGUCACACAGCUUUGGAACUUUUGAACAUACCUGAAGUGGAAAAUCUCAGCACUGCUGACCAAAAGCAAGUAACCCUUCAGGUCAAGAUCUAGCAAAAGGAACUCUCCAAGAUGAAAAAAGGAUCCAUGCUCCUUAGAGACUUAUUCAUCUUAAAUCGUGAAUCAAGAGGAAACUGGAAGGAGAAGGCAAAUGAAGAAUGUACCUACCAAUGGCACAUUGUUCAUUUGAGAAGUUCUUGGGCCUUGGUGGAAUCUUUAACUGAUUGCAGAAGUUUUGUAGACGGGUCAACGAACUGCUGUUGUUAGUUCUUAAUGCAGUAUGUAUCAUAACGGGAA
Molecule: long non-coding RNA, 621 nt
Organism: Ahaetulla prasina
Lineage: Eukaryota; Metazoa; Chordata; Lepidosauria; Squamata; Colubridae
Exons: 5
Source: RefSeq, a predicted model, not a curated record